AAUUCAUCCCAUUCACUCACCCGUCCAUCGUAAUGGAAUAAAAGGACUGUAAAGUUCUCUGAAAACUUUUUAACAUUUGCAUCAAUAUUUUUCCUCUGAUCAUAACCAANNNNNNNNNNUUUGGAGUGCUGGUCAAGUCCUCGCUAGGCUUACCCCACAAUCUACGUAAAUAGAAAUCUGACUCAGCCGCAAUUAUUCCUGGCGGCAGUCUUUCUGCACCACGGGGAUUUGA
RNAcentral lists this unclassified non-coding RNA (232 nucleotides) under Hevea brasiliensis (rubber tree). Lineage: Eukaryota; Viridiplantae; Streptophyta; Magnoliopsida; Malpighiales; Euphorbiaceae. The record is from RNAcentral.